This 845-nucleotide long non-coding RNA is filed under the name Homo sapiens (human). Its description in RNAcentral is "non-protein coding lnc-CPXM2-1:3". Lineage: Eukaryota; Metazoa; Chordata; Mammalia; Primates; Hominidae. The record is from RNAcentral.
GUAGUUCUGAAGAAGCCCAGUUGCGGGAAAGGAGUGAAUGUGGCGGCCCCCAGAGGUGCGCCCAGCUGCUCCUCCGUCUGUGGGCUUUUCCCACGGCCUUCUCAGGAGCGCCGCCCAGCAGCUCCGCUGGAAGUGACUCAUAAAAUCUUAAUAUAGCCCCGAGACUGUCAUGUUUACAGACAGUGCAGCAAAGGCAGUGGCUUGGAGUGUGACCAGAGAGUUUGCAGAACAAACGCACCAGGGAGGGGCUUGGAUGGAAAUAACCAAGCGCUCUCCCCGCAGGGCGUCAGGAAGACAGAAGAAGCUGGACAGAAAGAGAUCAAGAUUUAACUGGUUAUGCUGUAGACCAUGGCAGAUCGUAACAGAAGACAAAGCCCUUAAAAGAAAUGAAACUAUCCUCAUUAAAGGCCUGAUGGCUCACACCAUCCAGGAGAUCUCCUCUGCUACCAACUCCCAGCAGCUGAUUCAGCGGUCCUUCAUGAACAAUAGGCAACUGAACAAGAAAAUGAGUUUAUAUUGUUCAAAAGAAAGAAGAAUGCCUCUUUUUUCCCUUGAACAAGGGAGGUGGAGACUAACAAAAGAUUCUUUGCUUGACCAAACUUUAGUCAGGCUUCUAAAUCUUCCCCUCGGCCCGUCUGUGCACUUCCUUGUGAAAUCCAGUUUUAGCAAAGAACAUUUGUAAGUCAGUUUAGCAAGAACCCACCUCCCCACCCCCAUCCUCAAUAUCUGAUCAGGUUGCUCAGUUGCCAUCAUCCCCCAGGUGAUGUCUGAUUACCCUAGCCUGUCUUCAGCAAGAAUUCUGUUAGGUCAGUUCAGCCAGAAUCUCCCUUAACUCUUAUGUUUCC